AUUGAACGCUGGCGGCAGGCCUAACACAUGCAAGUCGAGCGGAUGAAGGGAGCUUGCUCCUGGAUUCAGCGGCGGACGGGUGAGUAAUGCCUAGGAAUCUGCCUGGUAGUGGGGGAUAACGUCCGGACACGGGCGCUAAUACCGCAUACGUCCUGAGGGAGAAAGUGGGGGAUCUUCGGACCUCACGCUAUCAGAUGAGCCUAGGUCGGAUUAGCUAGUUGGUGUGGUAAAGGCCUACCAAGGCGACGAUCCGUAACUGGUCUGAGAGGAUGAUCAGUCACACUGGAACUGAGACACGGUCCAGACUCCUACGGGAGGCAGCAGUGGGGAAUAUUGGACAAUGGGCGAAAGCCUGAUCCAGCCAUGCCGCGUGCGUGAAGAAGGUCUUCGGAUUGUAAAGCACUUUAAGUUGGGAGGAAGGGCAGUAAGUUAAUACCUUGCUGUUUUGACGUUACCAACAGAAUAAGCACCGGCUAACUUCGUG
RNAcentral lists this ribosomal RNA (484 nucleotides) under uncultured bacterium. RNAcentral describes it as "partial 16S ribosomal RNA". It matches the Rfam family "Bacterial small subunit ribosomal RNA", at positions 30 to 507 of the family's 1533-position model. The record is from RNAcentral.